RNAcentral lists this ribosomal RNA (870 nucleotides) under uncultured archaeon. RNAcentral's name for it is "bacterial SSU rRNA". It matches the Rfam family "Archaeal small subunit ribosomal RNA", at positions 1 to 878 of the family's 1478-position model. The record is from RNAcentral.
CCUUGGGUGAUCCCGCCGGACCUGACUGCUAUCGGAUUGGUACUAAGCCAUGCGAGUCAUUGUAGCAAUACAAGGCGGACGGCUCAGUAACACGUAGUCAACCUAACUCGUGGACGUGGAUAACCUCGGGAAACUGAGAAUAAACCACGAUAGAUCAUAGUGCCUGGAAUGGCUUAUGGUCCAAACAGUUUACUGCCAUGGGAUGGGACUGCGGCCUAUCAGCUUGUUGGUGAGGUAAUGGCCCACCAAGGCGAUUACAGGUACGGGCUCUGAGAGGAGAAGCCCGGAGAUGGGUACUGAGACACGGACCCAGGCCCUAUGGGGCGCAGCAGGCGAGAAACCUUAGCAAUGUGCGAAAGCACGACUGGGUCAGUCCGAGUGAUUCCUGAUAAAGGAGUCUUUUGCUUGUCCUAAAAGCACAGGUGAAUAAGGGGUGGGCAAGUCUGGUGUCAGCCGCCGCGGUAAUACCAGCACCUCGAGUGGUCAGGACGUUUAUUGGGCCUAAAGCAUCCGUAGCCGGCUCUGCAAGUCUUCGGUUAAAUCCACCUGCUCAACAGAUGGGCUGCUGGAGAUACUACAGAGCUAGGGAGUGGGAGAGGCAGACGGUAUUCAGUGGGUAGGGGUAAAAUCCUCUGAUCCAUUGAGGACCACCAGUGGCGAAGGCGGUCUGCCAGAACACGUUCGACGGUGAGGGAUGAAAGCUGGGGGAGCAAACCGGAUUAGAUACCCGGGUAGUCCCAGCUGUAAACGAUGCAAACUCGGUGAUGCAUUGGCUUAUGGCCAAUGCAGUGCCGCAGGGAAGCCGUUAAGUUUGCCGCCUGGGAAGUACGGACGCAAGUCUGAAACUUAAAGGAAUUGGCGGGGGGAGCA